RNAcentral lists this ribosomal RNA (478 nucleotides) under uncultured bacterium. RNAcentral describes it as "partial 16S ribosomal RNA". It matches the Rfam family "Bacterial small subunit ribosomal RNA", at positions 28 to 523 of the family's 1533-position model. The record is from RNAcentral.
GACGAACGCUGGCGGCGUGCUUAACACAUGCAAGUCGAACGGUAAGGCCCUUCGGGGUACACGAGUGGCGAACGGGUGAGUAACACGUGGGUGAUCUGCCCUGCACUUCGGGAUAAGCCUGGGAAACUGGGUCUAAUACCGGAUAGGACCACUGCCUGCAUGGGUGGUGGUGGAAAGCUUUUGCGGUGUGGGAUGGGCCCGCGGCCUAUCAGCUUGUUGGUGGGGUAAUGGCCUACCAAGGCGACGACGGGUAGCCGGCCUGAGAGGGUGACCGGCCACACUGGGACUGAGCUACGGCCCAGACUCCUACGGGAGGCAGCAGUGGGGAAUAUUGCACAAUGGGCGCAAGCCUGAUGCAGCGACGCCGCGUGAGGGAUGACGGCCUUCGGGUUGUAAACCUCUUUCAGUAGGGACGAAGCGCAAGUGACGGUACCUACAGAAGAAGGACCGGCCAACUACGUGCCAGCAGCCGCAGUAA